Molecule: long non-coding RNA, 4146 nt
Filed under: Sus scrofa (pig)
Lineage: Eukaryota; Metazoa; Chordata; Mammalia; Artiodactyla; Suidae
Description: lncRNA (ENSSSCG00000056082.1)
Source: RNAcentral
GGUGUCUGCAGGGCACUGGGUCCUGCAUGGCAGUGGGCAAAGCUAAUGAGGGUGAGGCCCUCGGGGGCGGCAGCUCAGCUCUACCAGGUGGGACGGGGGACACAGUCAGGUGUCCUGUCCCGCCACCUAGGGACCCAGGACCUGGGUGCUUACGUGACAUCUCCAGGUUUGGGUGUGCUGUUCCCUAAUCCAGCAACUCACCAGCGGUCAGAUCCAGGCCCCAGGCCCCAGUGUGCAGCCUCUUGGCUCGAAAGCUGUAACCCAGGGGUCGUAGUAACUGGCCUCUGUGUCCGGCCUUGACCCUCGGUCUGUGCCUGGUGCCAGCCUCGUGCAUGUCUGCACCCGCCUGGCCUUGUUCGCUUAGGGGUGAGGGUGUGGGAGCAGAAGGCUCACCCACGGGGCUGCUGGGCCCCGACGGAACGGUCAGCCUGCCUGUCUUCCUGCACGAACAGCCGCGUUCCCAGCUGCCCCCGCUGCUGGGCUGGGUGGGCAUCUGAUGGGCACCGGGGGUCACAGGUCAGGCUCAUUUCCUUCCCACGCGGCUGACAGCACACCCAGGCCCUGCCCCAGAGAGUCACGGUGGGCUUCCUGGAGGAGGAGGAGGGGCGCGGGUGUACCCCGAAGCAGGCCUGGAGCAGGAAGGGACCAGAGGCUCUGCAGGGCAGGUGGCGGAGGUGGCACAGAGGCCGAGAGACCCUGGGCCUUGACUGCUGUGAAGGGUUUAUUCUGAAGGUGGCUGCUCGGCACCAGGCGCACGGCUGGCGCCAAGGCUUGGAGGUGGGGACGCUGGGGUUGACGUGGGGAGAGGCAGGGACCAGCCGGGAUCCCCUGGGGCAGCGAGACCCAUCAGGGAGUAGCCCUCUGCCCCUGCCGAGAACUCUGACUCUGCUGAUCCUUACUCGUGCUGCGUGGACUGGACAGCACCCCGCCCCUCCCGCCCCUCCGAGCUGCCUGGCACUCCAGAGGGAGCAGGGCCCUCGGACUUCACUCCCUCCUGGGGGAGGGUGGUCCUGGGACCAGUAAUUAUAGCUCAGCAGGAAGUUCCUGCUGUGGCCAGGAGGUUAAAGAUCCCACGUUGUCUCUGCAGAGGCAGGAGUUCGAUCCCCAGCCCGUCGCAGUGGGUUAAGACUUUGAGUAGCCGCAGUUGGGACGCAGGUUGCGGCUGCGGCUCAGGUGGCUCGUCCAUCCCUGGCCCGGGAACUUCCAUGCGCCGUGGGUGUGGCCCAAAAGGAAGGAGAAAGCCCAGAAGAUGCUAAUCCCCUGAAAGAAAGCCCAGCACAGAGCAGGGGGAGGGGUGGGGAGGGCGGGAGACGCGGGAAGGAUGCCCGGAACCUGCUGUUGAGCUUCCUCUGCAAGCCUCCUGCCACUGGGCCCCGAGCACUUAGGUAUUUCCUGUCAUGUGCACUUUACGGAUGAAGAAGCCGAGGCUUGGAGGAAGCAGGCCCCUGUGGGUCAAGGCCGCCAGGACCCGUAAGAAGCCAGGCUGGGAUGACUGUGGGCCUGGCAGGACGGGCUUCCCCACAGGGUUCCCGGCAUCGGGGGUCCCGUUGCGGUGACCGGAGGGAGCGGCUGUGAUGGGAGGCAGGGGCGCCCUCCUUGGGCACCUGGGCAGCUGCGCGGGGCUCACAUCAUCUCGGGCCUGGCCUGACCCAGGAGGGGACCGACCUGGGGGACCUCGUCCUCCCUCCCCCCCCCGCUUCAUCCUGUGGUCCCGCUGAGUCUCUCGUGUUGGGGGGCCUGGCUGUCACCCCCAGCUGACAGAGGAGCACCCCAGCGGUCUCCGCUUCCGACGUCCUGCCCCCACCCCCAGCCCCCACCGCCUCUGAGCAGACUGCUCUCCUCUGUGCUCCUGCGCGGGGCUGUCGCUGGCUGAGGCCCUUAGAUGGGCGCUGUUUGGCCAGCACAGGGUUUAAAAAAUAACAUGGGAUUUCGUAUAAACAUCCCACUUCGGGCUUCUCUUCUAGCUGGAGGGUCGUAGUGCCGCCCGCAGGCCCGUCAGCCCCCGCAGGUGGAGCUGAGACGGGGCCGCCUGCGUCUCUGCGGUCCCCGCUCUGUCCGGUUUGUCCCCUGGCACCCCCACUCGCACCGGGGUUCCCGUCCCGGCACCCCAGCUUGCAUUGAUCUUGGGCAGAUUUGAAAUAUCUUUGAAACGCAUCUGGAAGCUGCCGGAACUGAGAAGCUGAUUCAAACUGGGUUUUGAAGGUGUUUUCCAGCCAUGCUCCAGACGCCCCCCAAAAAUAAAAUGAAAGGAAGGGUGCACAGGUGGGGACCCGCCUGGGGAGGAGGAGAGGUGCCGGGCAGCUGCCCCGCGGUCAGGGCCCCAGGGAGAGGAGACAGGACAUGCCACAGCCCCCUGUCCUCCACGCCCUGCCCAGGGCCCAGCGCCCGCCCGUCCGCAUCUCAGAUACUGUAAAAUUGGCCGCUUUUCCCUGCGCAUUUAAAAGACGCCUUUUCGUUAAUAUGCGGGAGGGAUUUCGAUGUUCUCGUGCAUAACCUUUUGCUGGAGCGACAGCGUGCAAUGAAAGGGUCCCAGGAGAGGCCGUGUAAUUUGGGCUGCGAGGGACGAGAAUACCAAUGCAGGGCGUCUCCAGAAAGCUGGGAGCCCUGGGGUCCCCGCCCCUCGUGCGCUGCUGGGGAGGGGUACCUAGAGUGUCCGGGACAAGGGCUGGGGGCACCUUUUCUGGGCAGGAGCUGGCCCGUGCGGGGUGGGGGGGUUGGGCCCGUCUGCCCUUGGCCCCGAAGGAUCAGAAAAGGGGGCUUGGGAGGUUCCAGUUAAUUGAGGCUGAGUCUAAAUCGGGAGGCUUAAUAAAGGGUAAUUAUCCUCCCAGGGGAGCCCCCCCCCGCCAGCCUGGAGGCGCUGAGAACGCCCGCCCGGGUCCCAGGGCCGCCUCCUCCCUGCCCGUGGCCAGUCGAGGGCCUGGAAGCGUGUUAGCUGCCUGCCUGUGUGUCUGCAUGUGGGGGCACGCGCGGGCACGUGCCCAAAUGCCACACCCUCUCCAGAGAGCAGCGCCGACCUGUGUGGACGGAGGCGACUUUGCCAAGUUGCGGCUCCACCCCGCGAGGAGCUUUCUGUCGUCGCGAGAGGACCCAGAAGAGCCAGGGCCGCUCCCGAGGGAGGGAGCUCCGUGGGUGUGCCAGCCGGUCGCCCCGUGUGCGCUCCUCUAUGCCGUGGGCCCCUCCGUGGUCCCCAGAGUCCUGGGCCCGGGGAUUUCCCCAGGGGACACAGGGUGGUUAGGAGGCCGCCCCUCAGUGUCCCCGGACCCGGCUCAGAGUCGGGGAGCGUGGAGGAGGGUGAGAGCGUGUGUUCCGUGCACGCAGGCGGCUGCGGAGCUGCGGGUGCUGGGGUGGCCUGGACGCCGUGCAUGUGUGGCUCUCGGGGAGGUGGGGAGGGGGCGUUUCUGUGCCCUGCGUCCGCCCCGACGGAGGGUGUGACCGGGCCCGGUGGACAUGUUUGUGGUGUGGGCAUGUCUGGGGGCCACGCCUUGGCUCUCCCUGGGCCAACCCAACCUUCCUGGGCCAGGCCUCCCCGCCCAGGCCUCCCACUGCCCCUGGCCCUGGCUCGGACCCCGGAGGUGCCCAUCACCCCGACGCCAGCCAUCCGUUUCCCCUUCCAGGGACCUCGACCCCUGCCAGCCCAGGUCUUAGUUCAUCCUUGCUCCUGGGACAAGAGUGGGCCCCGCAGAUGGCCGGAGGUCCCCAGGGGACCGUAGGGACAAGGGAAGAGGAGGGAGAGGAGCCCGCCUGGCCACUGCUCAGCUUCUCCCCGAGAAAUCCCACACGAGGUGGAUUCCCGUGUUUCUGUGGUGUCUGGGCCAGAUGAGCAGGCCUCUGCGGACACACCGUGGGCAUCACUAGACGUGAGAUGCAAGGUUUCCAGAGACGGAGUGCCGUUCGAAAUGAGCCGUUCUGGGAGCUCCCUUCGUGGCUCAGUGGAAACGGAUCCGACUAGGAACCAUGAGGUUGCGGGCUCGAUCCCUGGCCUCGCUCAGGGGGUUAAGGAGUCAGCAUUGCCAUGAGCUGUGGUGUAGGUCGCAGACGCGGCUCGGAUCUGGUGUGGCUGUGGCCGUGGUAUAGACUGGCGGCUACAGCUACGAUUAGACCUCUAGCCUGGGAACCUCCCUAUGCCACGGGAGCAGCCCUAAAAAG